This 427-nucleotide ribosomal RNA is filed under the name uncultured bacterium. RNAcentral's name for it is "bacterial SSU rRNA". It matches the Rfam family "Bacterial small subunit ribosomal RNA", at positions 917 to 1345 of the family's 1533-position model. The record is from RNAcentral.
GGGCCCGCACAAGCGGUGGAGUAUGUGGUUUAAUUCGAUGCAACGCGAAGAACCUUACCAGGGUUUGACAUCCUGCGAAUCUCUUGGAAACGAGAGAGUGCCUUCGGGAACGCAGUGACAGGUGGUGCAUGGCUGUCGUCAGCUCGUGUCGUGAGAUGUUGGGUUAAGUCCCGCAACGAGCGCAACCCACGUCUUUAGUUGCCAUCAUUUAGUUGGGCACUCUAAAGAGACUGCCGGUGAUAAGCCGGAGGAAGGUGGGGACGACGUCAAGUCCUCAUGGCCCUUACGGGAUGGGCUACACACGUGCUACAAUGGAGGGUACAGAGGGUCGCGAAGCCGCGAGGUGGAGCCAAUCUCAUAAAGCCCUUCCCAGUUCGGAUUGGAGUCUGCAACUCGACUCCAUGAAGUUGGAAUCGCUAGUAAUCGC